AGGGUUUGAUCCUGGCUCAGAUUGAACGCUGGCGGCAGGCUUCAGACAUGCAAGUCGAGCGGAAACAGGCCGCUGUGAUCCCUUCGGGGUGAACUUGGUGCUGUCGAGCGGCGGACGGGUGAGUAACGCGUAGGAAUCUGCCCAGUAGAGGGGGAUAGCCCGAGGAAACUCGGAUUAAUACCGCAUACGCCCUACGGGGGAAAGCAGGGGAUCUUCGGACCUUGCACUAUUGGAUGGGCCUGCGUUGGAUUAGCUUGUUGGUAGGGUAAAGGCCUACCAAGGCGACGAUCCAUAGCUGGUUUGAGAGGAUGAUCAGCCACACUGGAACUGAGACACGGUCCAGACUCCUACGGGAGGCAGCAGUCGGGAAUAUUGGACAAUGGGCGCAAGCCUGAUCCAGCCAUGCCGCGUGUGUGAAGAAGGCCUUCGGGUUGUAAAGCACUUUCAGUAGGGAGGAAGGCUAGCCGUCUAAUAGGCGGUUAGAUUGACGUUACCUACAGAAGCAGCACCGGCUAACUCCGUGCCAGCAGCCGCGGUAAUACGGAGGGUGCAAGCGUUAAUCGGAAUUACUGGGCGUAAAGCGCGCGUAGGCGG
This 594-nucleotide ribosomal RNA is filed under the name uncultured bacterium. RNAcentral's name for it is "bacterial SSU rRNA". It matches the Rfam family "Bacterial small subunit ribosomal RNA", at positions 8 to 578 of the family's 1533-position model. The record is from RNAcentral.